AUGUCUGGAGCGCGUCAACAAUCAGAGCUUUGCAUGCGCAAGCUGGUUGAGGCUAGGAUGGGGGUGAGGGGAAGGUUAAAUCGCAAGAGGGUGAAGGUCACAAUUCGGUCAAAUGUCCCCUUCACGGCGGGCGUCAGAUACCGACGCUCUGGCACAGAGCCUCUGGCACAGAGCCUCGCCUGUCAACUCUCCGGCCCGACCCCCACAAUAAUUGUCACUGUUUAUCGUCCCCCCAAGUUCAGCCCUGAGUUUUUAAAUGAACUCUCUGCUCUUUUAUCCCAUCUGUCCGCCCUUUCCCCAAAUGUAAUUUUACUUGGUGAUUUUAAUAUUCAUAUGGACAAUAUGGCCCUCCCCCUCAGCAAAGACUUCUCCUCAUCUUUGGACAGCCUCAGUUUUCAUCAAUAUGCCAAUUUUCCCACUCACAUUAAAGGUCACACCCUGGAUUUAAUCUGCUGCUCCGGCCUGACCCCCUCCAACUGUACAGCUGACCCGCUCCCUUUCACGGACCACUUCCUCAUCUCCUUUUCUGUUCCCCUCCGUCUCUCCAUCAUCAAGUCACCACGUAUCAUUUCUUUUCGUAAUAUUAAGGACAUUGAUCUAGCCUCCCUGUCCUCCAGUUUUGCCACCUUGACCCCUAAUUUGUCCUCUACUCCCGAUGAUCUUGUCAUUCAGUACAAUAACGGUCUGGUUUCUAUCCUUAAUUCAUUUGCUCCCAUCAAAUCCCGCUCUGUAUAUUUUACUCGGUCUGCUCCAUGGUUCACCCCUGCCCUUCGCUCCUUGAAAGCUACCAACCGGAGGCUUGAAAGACUCUACAAGAAAACCGGUCUCACCAUCCAUAAAGACUUAUAUUCUGCUCAGAUUUCUCUCUACAAGGACUCCAUCUCCCAUGCCAAAUCUCAGUAUUACUCCGGUCUCAUCUCGUCCAACUCCAGCAACACUAAAACAUUAUUUUCCAUCAUGAACAGCAUUUUUCAGCCUCCCGACUCCUUACCCAUCCAUCUUUACUCUUCAGAAACCUGUAACUCUCUCCUUCAGUUUUUUAAUGAGAAGGUCAAUAGAAUCCAUCUCUCUUUACCUCAUUCCUCCCCUCCCUCUCCUGAUUUAUUUGAACCCACCAUUCCGUUCUCCUCCUUUGAACUUCCCCAUCCCUCAGAAAUAUUAGAUUACAUCACCAAAUCCAAACCUUCCACCUGUCAACUGGACCCUAUUCCAACUGUUUUAGUUAAAUCCUGCCUUUCUUCUCUGCUCCCUUUUAUAACAGCCAUUAUUCAUUCCUCACUAUCCUCUGGUACGGUCCCAUCCCUAUUCAAAUCCGCUUCAGUCAGCCCUAUUCUAAAAAAACCUGGUUUAGAUCCCAAUGAUUUCAAUAACCUCCGUCCCAUUUCCCAUCUUCCCUUCAUUUCCAAAGUCCUUGAGAAAACUGUUGCAUCUCAGCUCCAUUCACAUCUCACCCGCAAUAACCUUUAUGAACAGUUUCAGUCUGGCUUCCGUCCCCACCACAGCACAGAAACAGCUCUCANCUGUUUCCAGUCCUGA
This 1536-nucleotide long non-coding RNA is filed under the name Nothobranchius furzeri (turquoise killifish). Its description in RNAcentral is "lncRNA (ENSNFUG00015003112.1)". Lineage: Eukaryota; Metazoa; Chordata; Actinopteri; Cyprinodontiformes; Nothobranchiidae. The record is from RNAcentral.